GAUGAAGAACGUAGUGAAAUGCGAUACGUAGUGUGAAUUGCAGAAAUACGUGAACCAUCGAAUCUUUGAACGCAUAUUGCGCCCGCGUCUUCGGACAAGGGCAUGUCUGCCUCAGCGUCGGGUUAAUACUCGCAAACAAACCCCUGUGGUUUGUCUAUUGCGGAUCUGGCCGUCCCGAUCGAUUCAAUUCGGUCGGGUCGGCUGAAGAGUAGAGGUUGACGCAUGGACCCGAUUAUGGGCCGCAACUGGGUAGGCAAUUCGUUGCUGAUGCUUUAGUUGUUGGCUUGUGGACUGUGCAAUGUCGGCCCAAACCAGGAACCGAGCCUUUGUGCUUGGCAUUAACCCUAUUUUCUCGACCUGAGCUCAGGCAAGAACACCCGCUGAACUUAAGCAUAUCAAUAAGCGGAGGA
This 410-nucleotide unclassified non-coding RNA is filed under the name soil metagenome. RNAcentral describes it as "partial contains 5.8S ribosomal RNA, internal transcribed spacer 2, and large subunit ribosomal RNA". The stretch from base 1 to 120 matches the Rfam family "5.8S ribosomal RNA", at positions 35 to 154 of the family's 154-position model. The record is from RNAcentral.